GACGAACGCUGGCGGCGUGCUUAACACAUGCAAGUCGAACGGAAAGGCCUCUUUCGGGGGGUACUCGCGUGGCGAACGGGUGAGUAACACGUGAGUAACCUGCCCUUGACUUUGGGAUAACUUCAGGAAACUGGGGCUAAUACCGGAUAGGAGCUCCUGCUGCAUGGUGGGGGUUGGAAAGUUUCGGCGGUUGGGGAUGGACUCGCGGCUUAUCAGCUUGUUGGUGGGGUAGUGGCUUACCAAGGCUUUGACGGGUAGCCGGCCUGGGAGGGUGACCGGCCACAUUGGGACUGAGAUAAGGCCCAGACUCCUACGGGAGGCAGCAGUGGGGAAUAUUGCACAAUGGGUGGAAGCCUGAUGCAGCAACGCCGUGUGCGGGAUGACGGACUUCGGGUUGUAAACCGCUUUCGCUCAUGACGAAGCUUUGUGUGACGGUAGUGGGUAAAGAAGCACCGGCUAACUACGUG
This 467-nucleotide ribosomal RNA is filed under the name uncultured bacterium. RNAcentral describes it as "partial 16S ribosomal RNA". It matches the Rfam family "Bacterial small subunit ribosomal RNA", at positions 28 to 507 of the family's 1533-position model. The record is from RNAcentral.